RNAcentral lists this ribosomal RNA (425 nucleotides) under uncultured bacterium. Its description in RNAcentral is "partial 16S ribosomal RNA". It matches the Rfam family "Bacterial small subunit ribosomal RNA", at positions 354 to 796 of the family's 1533-position model. The record is from RNAcentral.
GUGGGGAAUCUUGCGCAAUGGGCGAAAGCCUGACGCAGCCAUGCCGCGUGAAUGAUGAAGGUCUUAGGAUUGUAAAAUUCUUUCACCGGGGACGAUAAUGACGGUACCCGGAGAAGAAGCUCCGGCUAACGUCGUGCCAGCAGCCGCGGUAAUACGAAGGGGGCUAGCGUUGCUCGUAAUUACUGGGCGUAAAGGGCGCGUAGGCGGACAGGUUAGUCAGAGGUGAAAGCCCAGGGCUCAACCUUGGAAUUGCCUUUGAUACUGGCUGUCUUGAGUUUGGGAGAGGUGAGUGGAACUCCGAGUGUAGAGGUGAAAUUCGUAGAUAUUCGGAAGAACACCAGUGGCGAAGGAGACUCACUGGCCCAAUACUGACGCUGAGGCGCGAAAGCGUGGGGAGCAAACAGGAUUAGAUACCCUAGUAGUCC